This 3220-nucleotide long non-coding RNA is filed under the name Homo sapiens (human). RNAcentral describes it as "non-protein coding lnc-PRIM2-13:1". The record is from RNAcentral. Lineage: Eukaryota; Metazoa; Chordata; Mammalia; Primates; Hominidae.
CAAACACUGCUAUGUGAUGUUUGCAUUCAAGUCACAGAGUGCAACAUUCCUCUUGACAGAGCAGUUGGGAAACACUCCUUUUGUAGAAUUUGCAAUGGGAUAUUUGGACUUCUUUGAGGCCUUCGUUGGAAACGGGAUUUCUUCGUAUAAAUCUAGACAGAAGAAUUCUCAGAAACUUCUUUGUGAUGUGUGCAUUCAACUCAGCGAGUGGCACCUUCCUUUGGAUACAGCAGUUUUGAAACACUGUUUUUGUAGUAUUUCCAAGCGGAUAUUUAGAGCGCCUUGAAGCCUAUGCUAGAAAUGGAAAUAUCUCCCCAUAAAACCAAGACAGAAGCAAUCUCAGAAACUAAUGUGUGAUGGCUGCAUUCCACACACACGGUGGACCAUUUCUCUUGAUAGAGCAGUUUUGAAACACUCUUUCUGUAGAAUCUGCAAGUGGAUAAUUGGACCUCCUAGAGGCCUUCGUUGGAAACGGGAUUUCUCCAUCUAAACCUACAGAGAAGAAUUCUCAGUAACUUCAUCGGAUGUGUGCAUUCGACUCACAGAAUGGAACAUUCCCUUUGAUAGAGCAGUUUUGAGACACCGUUUUUGUAGAAUUCCCAAGUGGAUAUUUAGAGCACUUUGAAGUCUCUGCUAGAAAAGGAAACAUCUUCAUGUAAAAAGUAGAUAGAAUCGUUCUCAGAAAGUGCUUAGUGACGUGUGCGUUCAACUCACAGAGUGUAACGUUUCUUUUGAUAGAGCGUUUCUGAAACACCCUUCUUGUAGUAGCUGCAAGUGGAUAUUUGGACCUAUUGGAGGCCUUCUUUGGAAACGGGAUUUCUUCAUGUAACUCUAGAUUGAAGAAUUCUCAGAAACUCCUUUGUGAUGUGUGCAUUCAAUUCAAAGAGUGAAACCUCCCUUUUCACAGAGCAGUUUGGAAACACUGUUUUUGUAGGAUUUCCAAGGGGAUAUUUAUAGCGCAUUGAGCCUACGGCAGAAAAAGAAACAUCUUCCUAUAAAAACUAGACAGAAUAAUUCUCAGAAUCUGCUUUGUGAUGUGUGCGUUCAACUCAUAGAGUAAAACUUUUCUUUUGAUAGAGCAGUUUUGAAACACUCUUUUUGUAAUAUUUGCAUGUGUAUAUUUAGAGCGCAUUGAAGCCCACAGUAGAAAAGGAAAUAACUUCACCUAAAACCUAGACAGAAGCAAUCUCAGAAACUACUUUGUGAUGUGUACAUUCAACUCACAGAGUGGAACUUUCCUCUUUAUAGAGCAGUGUUGAAACACUCUUUUUGUAGAAACUGCAGGUGGAUAUUUGGACCUCUUUGAGGCCCUCGUUGGAAACGGGAUUUCUUCCUAUAACCCUAGACAGAAGAAUUUUCAGAAACCUCAUUGUGAUGUGUGCGUUCAUCUCACAGAGUGGAGUCUUCCGUUUGAUAGAGAAGUUUUGAAACCCUGUUCUUGUAGGAUUUCCAAGUGGAUAUUUAGACCACUUUGAAGCCUAUGAUAGAAAAGGAAACAUCUUCAUGGAAAACAUAGAUAGAAUCAUUCUCAGAAACAACUUUGUGAUGUGUGCGUUGAACUCACCGUCUUUAAACUUUCUUUUGGUAGAGAAGUUUUGAAACACUCUCUUUGUAAAGUCUACAAGUGGAUAUUUUGAGCCCUUGGAGGCAUUCUUUGGAAAAGGGAAUGUCUUCACGUAAAAGGCAGACAGAAGUGUUCUCAGAAACUGCUUUGUGAUGUCUGUGUUCAACUCACAGAGUUUAACAUUUCCUUUGAUAGAGCAGUUUAGUAACACUGUCUUUGUAGAAUUUGGAAGUGUAUACUAAGAGCGCUUUGAGUUCUAUGGUAGAAAAGGAAAUAUCUUUGCAUAAAAGCUAGACAGAAGCAAUCUCAGAAACUCCUUUGUGAUGUCUGCAUUCAACUCACCGAGUGGAACAUUCCUCUUGAUAGAGCAGUUUGGAAACGCUCUUUCUGUAGAAUCAGCUUGUUUGUAUUUGGACCACCUUGAGGCCUUCGUUGGAAACGGGUUUUCAUCUUAUAAACCCAGACAGAAGAAUUCUCAGAGUCUUCUUUGUGAUGUGUGCUUUCAACUCACCGAGAUAAAGAUUUCUCUUGAUAGAGCAAUUUGGAAACACUCUUUUUGUAGAAUUUGCAAGGGUACCCUGAGAGUGCUUUCAGGCCUAUGGUAGAAAAGGGAAUAUCUUUCCAUAAAAGGUAGACAGAAGCAAUCUCAGAAACUGCUUUGUGAUGUGUGCAUUCAACUCACCGAGUGCAACAUUCCUCUUGAUAGAGCAGUUUGGAAACAUUGUUUCUGUAGAAUCUGCAAGUGGAUAUUUGGACCUCUUUGAGGCCUUCGUUGGAAACGGGAUUUCUUCCUAUAAACCCAGACAGAAGAAUUCUCAGAGACUUCUUUGUGAUGUGUGAAUUCAACUCACAGUGUGGAUCCUUCCUUUUGAUAGAGCAGUUUUGAAACACUGUUUUUGUAGUAUUUCCAAGCGGAUAUUUGGAACGCCUUGAAGCGUAUGGUAGAAAAGGAAAUAUCUUCUCAUAAAACCUAGACAGAACCAAUCUCAGAAACGACUUUGUGAUGUCUGCAUUCAACUCACAGAGUUGAACAUUUCUCUUGAUAGAGCAGUUUUGAAACCCUCUUUCUGAAGGAUCUGCAAGUGGAUAUUUGGACCUCCUUUGGGUCUUCGUUGGAAACGGGAUUUCUUCGUAUAAAUCUAGACAGAAGAAUUCUCCGAAAUUUCUUUGGUUGUGUGCACUCAAGUCACAGAGUGGAACCUUCCUUUGGAUAGAGCAGUUUGAAACGCUGUGGUUGUAGUAUUUCCAAGCGGAUAUUAGAGCGCCUUGAAGCCUAUGGUAGAAAAGGAAAUAUCUUCCCAUAAAACCUAGACGGAAGCAAUCUCAGAAACUACUGUGUGAUGGCUGCAUUCCACACACACGGUGGAACAUUUCUCUUGAUAGAGCAGUUUUGAAACACUCUUUCUGUAGAAUCUGCAAGUGGAUAAUUGGACCGCCUUGAGGCCUUCGUUGGAAACGGGAUUUCUUCAUGUUACUCUAGAUAGAAGAAUUCUCAAACACUACUAUGUGAUGUUUGCAUUCAAGUCACAGAGUGCAACAUUCCUCUUGACAGAGCAGUUGGGAAACACUCCUUUUGUAGAAUUUGCAAUGGGAUAUUUGGACUUCUUUGAGGCCUUCUUUGGAAACGGGAUUUCUUCAUGUAACUCUAGAUUGAAG